CUCCUACGGGAGGCAGCAGUGAGGAAUAUUGGUCAUUGGGCGCAAGCCUGAACCAGCCAUCCCGCGUGCAGGAUGACGGCCCUAUGAGUUGUAAACUGCUUUUAUACACCAAGAAAAACUCCGACGUAUCGGAGCCCGACGGUAGUGUAUGAAUAAGCAUCGGCUAACUCCGUGCCAGCAGCCGCGGUAAUACGGAGGAUGCAAGCGUUAUCCGGAUUCAUUGGGUUUAAAGGGUGCGUAGGCGGCUUUUUAAGUCAGUGGUGAAAUCCUGUCGCUUAACGAUAGAAUUGCCAUUGAUACUGAAGAGCUUGAGUUUAGUUGAGGUAAGCGGAAUGUGUAGUGUAGCGGUGAAAUGCUUAGAUAUUACACAGAACACCGAUUGCGAAGGCAGCUUACUAAGCUAACACUGACGCUGAUGCACGAAAGCGUGGGGAGCGAACAGGAUUAGAUACCCUGGUAGUCCACGCCGUAAACGAUGCUCACUCGCUGUAUGCGAUACACAGUAUGCGGCCAAGCGAAAGCAUUAAGUGAGCCACCUGGGGAGUACGAUCGCAAGGUUGAAACUCAAAGGAAUUGACGGGGGCCCGCACAAGCGGAGGAACAUGUGGUUUAAUUCGAUGAUACGCGAGGAACCUUACCUGGGCUUAAAUGGGGAACGACAGCUGCCGAAAGGUGGCCUUCUUCGGACGUUCUUCAAGGUGCUGCAUGGUUGUCGUCAGCUCGUGCCGUGAGGUGUCGGGUUAAGUCCCAUAACGAGCGCAACCCUUAUCGUUAGUUGCCAGCGGGUGAUGCCGGGGACUCUAGCGAGACUGCCACCGUAAGGUGUGAGGAAGGUGGGGAUGACGUCAAAUCAGCACGGCCCUUAUGUCCAGGGCUACACACGUGUUACAAUGGCAAGUACAAAGGGCAGCUACCCCGUGAGGGGAUGCUAAUCUCUAAAGCUUGUCUCAGUUCGGAUCGAAGUCUGCAACCCGACUUCGUGAAGCUGGAUUCGCUAGUAAUCGCAUAUCAGCCAUGAUGCGGUGAAUACGUUCCCGGGCCUUGCACACACCGCCCGU
RNAcentral lists this ribosomal RNA (1058 nucleotides) under uncultured Bacteroidota bacterium. RNAcentral's name for it is "bacterial SSU rRNA". It matches the Rfam family "Bacterial small subunit ribosomal RNA", at positions 336 to 1397 of the family's 1533-position model. Lineage: Bacteria; Pseudomonadati; Bacteroidota. The record is from RNAcentral.